RNAcentral lists this ribosomal RNA (495 nucleotides) under uncultured bacterium. RNAcentral describes it as "bacterial SSU rRNA". It matches the Rfam family "Bacterial small subunit ribosomal RNA", at positions 30 to 518 of the family's 1533-position model. The record is from RNAcentral.
AUUGAACGCUGGCGGCAUGCCUUACACAUGCAAGUCGAACGGCAGCACGGGAGCAAUCCUGGUGGCGAGUGGCGAACGGGUGAGUAAUGUAUCGGAACGUGCCCAGUAGUGGGGGAUAACUACUCGAAAGAGUGGCUAAUACCGCAUGAGAUCUCUGGAUGAAAGCGGGGGACCGUAAGGCCUCGCGCUACUGGAGCGGCCGAUAUCAGAUUAGGUAGUUGGUAGGGUAAGAGCCUACCAAGCCAACGAUCUGUAGCUGGUCUGAGAGGACGACCAGCCACACUGGGACUGAGACACGGCCCAGACUCCUACGGGAGGCAGCAGUGGGGAAUUUUGGGACAAUGGGCGCAAGCCUGAUCCAGCAAUGCCGCGUGCAGGACGAAGGCCUUCGGGUUGUAAACUGCUUUGUACGGACGAAAAGACCUCUGGUUAAUACCUAGGGUCGAUGACGGUACCGUAAGAAUAAGCACCGGCUAACUACGUGCCAGCAGCCGG